AGCUGGUCUGAGAGGAUGAUCAGCCACAUCGGGACUGAGACACGGCCCGAACUCCUACGGGAGGCAGCAGUGGGGAAUAUUGGACAAUGGGGGGAACCCUGAUCCAGCCAUGCCGCGUGUGUGAAGAAGGCCCUCGGGUUGUAAAGCACUUUCAGUGAGGAAGAACGCCUGGUGGUUAAUACCCAUCAGGAAAGACAUCACUCACAGAAGAAGCACCGGCUAACUCCGUGCCAGCAGCCGCGGUAAUACGGAGGGUGCGAGCGUUAAUCGGAAUUACUGGGCGUAAAGCGCGCGUAGGUGGCUUGAUAAGCCGGUUGUGAAAGCCCCGGGCUCAACCUGGGAACGGCAUCCGGAACUGUCAAGCUAGAGUGCAGGAGAGGAAGGUAGAAUUCCCGGUGUAGCGGUGAAAUGCGUAGAGAUCGNGGAGGAAUACCAGUGGCGAAGGCGGCCUUCUGGACUGACACUGACACUGAGGUGCGAAAGCGUGGGUAGCAAACAGGAUUAGAUACCCUGGUAGUCCACGCCGUAAACGAUGUCGACCAGCCGUUGGGUGCCUAGCGCACUUUGUGGCGGAGUUAACGCGAUAAGUCGACCGCCCUGGGGAGUACGGCCGCAANGNNGUUANANAACUCAAAUGAAUUGACGGGGGCCCGCACAAGCGGUGGAGCAUGUGGUUUAAUUCGAUGCAACGCGAAGAACCUUACCUACUCUUGACAUCCUGCGAAUUUGGUAGAGAUACCUUAGUGCCUUCGGGAACGCAGAGACAGGUGCUGCAUGGCUGUCGUCAGCUCGUGUUGUGAAAUGUUGGGUUAAGUCCCGUAACGAGCGCAACCCUUGUCCUUAUUUGCCAGCGCGUAAUGGCGGGAACUCUAAGGAGACUGCCGGUGACAAACCGGAGGAAGGUGGGGACGACGUCAAGUCAUCAUGGCCCUUACGAGUAGGGCUACACACGUGCUACAAUGGUCGGUACAAAGGGUUGCCAACUCGCGAGAGUGAGCCAAUCCCG
This 1006-nucleotide ribosomal RNA is filed under the name uncultured Halomonas sp. Its description in RNAcentral is "bacterial SSU rRNA". It matches the Rfam family "Bacterial small subunit ribosomal RNA", at positions 285 to 1276 of the family's 1533-position model. Lineage: Bacteria; Pseudomonadati; Pseudomonadota; Gammaproteobacteria; Oceanospirillales; Halomonadaceae. The record is from RNAcentral.